This is an RNA transcript of Raphanus sativus (radish), 1671 nucleotides long. It is a transcript of the gene named serine/arginine-rich splicing factor SR45, with no coding region annotated. The record is from RefSeq and is a predicted model, not a curated record. The transcript is spliced from 13 exons. NCBI's taxonomy places the organism in Eukaryota, Viridiplantae, Streptophyta, Magnoliopsida, Brassicales, Brassicaceae.
AAGUUCACAGUCACUCUUUUUUUCUUUUUAUCCGCUAGGGUUUUGUUAAAUUCAAGGUUUCGCUUGUGCUUCGCGAUUCUGCUUCGAUUAUCUCUCGCCCCAUGGCGAAACCAAGUCGUGGCCGUCGUUCACCGUCCGUCUCCGGUUCUUCUUCUCGUUCCAGCUCCAGAUCUCGUUCUAGUCCGUCCAGGUCUGUUUCGCGCUCCCGUUCCCGUUCCAGAUCGCUCUCUUCUUCUUCUCGGAGCGUUAGCUCUGGGAGUCGCAGUCCUCCGCCUCGUUCCAAAAGUUCUGCUGGGCCUGCUAGACGUGGUCGCUCUCCUCCUCCACAGUCUAAAGGAGCCUCUUCACCCUCUAAGAAAGCUACACCUAUUCAAGAAUCACUUGUUCUCCAUGUUGAUUCUCUCAGCAGGAAUGUGAAUGAAGGCCAUCUCAAAGAAAUAUUUGGUAACUUUGGUGAAGUUGUACACGUAGAACUUGCCAUGGAUCGAGCUGUUAAUCUUCCGAAAGGAUAUGCUUAUGUUGAGUUCAAGGCUAGAGCUGAUGCUGAGAAAGCUCAGCUGUUUAUGGAUGGUGGUCAAAUUGAUGGAAGUGUUGUCAAAGCGAAGUUCACACUACCACCGCGUCAGAAAGUAUCUCCAUCCCCUAAACCUGUCUCAAGUGCACCAAAAAGAGAGGCUCCAAAAUCUGAUAGUGCUGGUGCUGCUGACAUUGAGAAAGAUGGGCCCAGGCGUCCAAGAGAGACUUCUCCGCAACGGAAAGCAGUAGUCUCUCCAAGAAGGCGAUCACCUCCGCCUAGGAGAGGCGCAUCACCUAGGAGACUACCUGAUUCUCCCCCUCGCCGGAGGCCAAACUCUCCUAUCCGCCGUCGUGGUGAUACACCGCCUAGACGCAGGGCUGCAUCGCCAUCUUCUCCUCCAAGACGACGUAGGUCUCCUCCAAGAGGCUCCCCUAGAAGAAUCCGUGGCAGCCCUGUUCGCAGACGGUCUCCUCCUCCUCUAAGACGAAGGUCACCUCCAAGGAGACUACGCAGUCCUAUAAGAAGAUCUCCAAUCCGCAGACGUAGCCGAUCCCCAAUUCGUAGACCUGCUCGCUCUCGUUCAAGGUCCAUUUCACCCCGCAGGGGACGAGGUCCAGCUGGGAGACGUGGGAGGUCAUCUUCGUACUCUAGUUCGCCAAGUCCCAGAAGGAUUCCUAGGAAGAUUUCAAGGAGCCGCAGUCCAAGAAGAAUGCAUUCGUAGGAAAAUGCUCACUGUUAAGAUGUGUAGUAAAGUCGAUCCAUAUCAUGAUGAAAGACACACAGUAAACGUUUGGAACGGACACUAGUUAUUGAUCUCCACGCCACUGAGAGGAAAAAGAAGCAGCAGUAACAGUAGCAGCAGCAGCUCGCCGCCUCCUCGCAAAACAUAAUGUAAUAAAACUAGUGUUAAGAAAAAACAUCUCUUUUAGCUCCGUCUCUAUCUACCCUCCCCUUCACCGCCAUAUUAUCUGUCUCGACUUGAAGUUUUACCAGUGAGCAAAUGAGAGUUGUAGACUUGUAGUUCUUCAAGAGUGUUGGAUGUUUUAAGCCUCUUUUGCGUAUCGUCCACCUAUCUAUAUCUGAUUUGGAUUUCAGUAGUUUUAUGUUAUGAGUACGACGAGCAUAACAACUUAAAUCUAGUGUGUUCUUUUGCA